UACAGAGGGUGCGAGCGUUGUUCGGAAUUAUUGGGCGUAAAGGGCGCGUAGGCGGUGCGGUAAGUCACCUGUGAAAUCUCCUGGCUCAACUGGGAGCUUGCAGGCGAAACUGCCGUGCUGGAGUGUGGGAGAGGUGCGUGGAAUUCCCGGUGUAGCGGUGAAAUGCGUAGAUAUCGGGAGGAACAUCAGUGGCGAAGGCGGCCUGCUGGGCUGUUGCUGACGCUGAGGCGCGACAGCGUGGGGAGCAAACAGG
Molecule: ribosomal RNA, 253 nt
Filed under: uncultured bacterium
Lineage: Bacteria
Description: partial 16S ribosomal RNA
Rfam family: Bacterial small subunit ribosomal RNA
Source: RNAcentral